This 134-nucleotide small nucleolar RNA is filed under the name Nannospalax galili (Upper Galilee mountains blind mole rat). RNAcentral's name for it is "Small nucleolar RNA SNORA31 (ENSNGAG00000004426.1)". It matches the Rfam family "Small nucleolar RNA SNORA31". From Rfam's summary of the family: ACA31 (SNORA31) belongs to the H/ACA class of snoRNAs which are thought to guide the sites of modification of uridines to pseudouridines. The record is from Rfam by way of RNAcentral. Lineage: Eukaryota; Metazoa; Chordata; Mammalia; Rodentia; Spalacidae.
AUGCAUUUAUUUGGCAGACCCAAGGCAGUUGCUGUCUGCUUCUAAGGUUUCCAUUACAGAUGCAAGAAGAAAGUUUCCUCAUGCUUUCUGUCUGUCUAACUGUGCCAGCCAAGAUUGAAUAGAGGAACACAGAG